This 855-nucleotide ribosomal RNA is filed under the name uncultured archaeon. Its description in RNAcentral is "bacterial SSU rRNA". It matches the Rfam family "Archaeal small subunit ribosomal RNA", at positions 1 to 865 of the family's 1478-position model. The record is from RNAcentral.
UUCCGGUUGAUCCCGCCGGAGGCCACUGCUAUCGGAGUUCGAUUAAGCCAUGCGAGUCGAGAGGUGCAAGACCUCGGCAUACUGCUCAGUAACACGUGGAUAAUCUACCCUGCGGAGGGGGAUAACCCCGGGAAACUGGGGAUAAUACCCCAUAGACUAUGGAUGCUGGAAUGCUCUGUAGCCGAAAGGUCCGCCGCCGCAGGAUGAGUCUGCGGCCGAUUAGGUUGUUGUUGGGGUAACGGCCCAACAAGCCUGUAAUCGGUACGGGUUGUGGGAGCAAGAGCCCGGAGAUGGAUUCUGAGACACGAAUCCAGGCCCUACGGGGCGCAGCAGGCGCGAAAACUUUGCAAUGCGGGAAACCGUGACAAGGGAACUCCGAGUGCCCGUAAAUUCGGGCUGUCCGCCAGUUUAAAUCACUGGUGAAGAAAGGGCCGGGCAAGACCGGUGCCAGCCGCCGCGGUAAUACCGGCGGCUCGAGUGGUGGCCACUAUUACUGGGCUUAAAGCGUUCGUAGCUGGUCUGUUAAGUCUCUGGGGAAAUCUUCCGGCUUAACCGGAAGGCGUCUCAGGGAUACUGGCAGACUAGGGACCGGGAGAGGUGAGGGGUACUCCAGGGGUAGGAGUGAAAUCCUGUAAUCCUUGGGGGACCACCUGUGGCGAAGGCGCCUCACCAGAACGGCUCCGACAGUGAGGAACGAAAGCUGGGGGAGCAAACCGGAUUAGAUACCCGGGUAGUCCCAGCUGUAAACGAUGCGCGUUAGGUGUAUCGGUGACCACGAGUCACCGAGGUGCCGAAGAGAAAUCGUGAAACGUGCCGCCUGGGAAGUACGGUCGCAAGGCUGAAACUUAAAGGAAU